This 207-nucleotide ribosomal RNA is filed under the name uncultured bacterium. RNAcentral describes it as "partial 16S ribosomal RNA". It matches the Rfam family "Bacterial small subunit ribosomal RNA", at positions 568 to 774 of the family's 1533-position model. The record is from RNAcentral.
CAUCUAGGCGGUCAAUCAAGUCGAAGGUGAAAUCCCCGGGCUCAACCUGGGAACUGCAUUCGAAACUGGCAGGCUGGAGUCUUGUAGAGGGGGGUAGAAUUCCAGGUGUAGCGGUGAAAUGCGUAGAGAUCUGGAGGAAUACCGGUGGCGAAGGCAGCCCCCUGGGAUAACACUGACGUUCAUGCUCGAAAGCGUGGGUAGCAAACA